RNAcentral lists this unclassified non-coding RNA (719 nucleotides) under Hevea brasiliensis (rubber tree). The record is from RNAcentral. Lineage: Eukaryota; Viridiplantae; Streptophyta; Magnoliopsida; Malpighiales; Euphorbiaceae.
CCAGGCACAACAAUUACAAAAUACAAAAGAUGUAUAUCGAAUGGUUAACUUAAUAAAAGCAACAACAAUAGCUGCAGUUCAAUUUUACAUCACAGGAAAAGCGAAUCUGCCAUGAUGCAGCAAGAUUUGCUGCUUUCUUCUAAAUCACGGUUGGAUAAGAGACCAGAAAACUUAGCUGCCUUGCUUCAGAAUUAUAAUGUUCAGGACAAGCACAAGAAAAAAUAAGGCCGUUUUCAUGGAAUCACUUGCAUCCUCAGGUCCCACAUCCCUUGCAAUUACAAUGAUAAAUUGAUCUUCUUAGACCACUUAAAGAUAUCUGAAUAAACUUGAUCGCCUCCCAACUCUUCUCCUGUAGCCCCAGCUGCCACCCUCAUUAAGUCCUCAAUUAAAGCAAAAUUUCCCAUUAUAUCAACAUGAGCACCACUUUGGGUGCCCCGGCCUUCCAACAAGUUUGCUGGAGGAGAAUGAUAAUAUUCCCUAAUGUAUGUCCGACUUCCUGAAGGAUUGAAUCUAGUUUUUCCCCGCCAUGCUUUAGCACACAUGAAGCCUGCACUUAAAACAGGAACAGUCUCAUCCCCAUCAACAGUGUAGACUCCAUCUUUCAAACAGCUGUCUUCAUCUUCCCCAUCAGCUGAUGUGUCAAUCUGAAAUGGAAUGUAGCAUUCAGCCGCAGGAGAUAACUUAUAAACAUAAGCUCUUUCAGUUGGUAUGCCAACUCC